Molecule: microRNA precursor, 77 nt
Filed under: Patagioenas fasciata monilis
Lineage: Eukaryota; Metazoa; Chordata; Aves; Columbiformes; Columbidae
Description: mir-23 microRNA precursor family
Rfam family: mir-23 microRNA precursor family
Source: Rfam by way of RNAcentral
CGCCCGCCGGGGUUCCUGGCGAUGCGAUUUUUUACCGUCUCGCCCAAAAUCACAUUGCCAGGGAUUUCCAACGGGNN